Molecule: ribosomal RNA, 112 nt
Filed under: Castor canadensis (American beaver)
Lineage: Eukaryota; Metazoa; Chordata; Mammalia; Rodentia; Castoridae
Source: RNAcentral
GUCUAUGGUCAUAGCACCUUGAAUGCACCCUAUCGCAUCUGAUCUCAGAAGCUAAGCAAGGUUGGGCCUGGUUAGUUCUUGGAUGGGAGAACUCUCAUGUCUAAAAUCGACA